Molecule: long non-coding RNA, 220 nt
Filed under: Lathyrus oleraceus (garden pea)
Lineage: Eukaryota; Viridiplantae; Streptophyta; Magnoliopsida; Fabales; Fabaceae
Description: Pisum sativum (pea) long non-coding RNA (PSAT_LNC025383)
Source: RNAcentral
UAGACUUCAGUGCUACAGACUUGAUCUUAUUUUGAGGCUCAUCUUCCUCAAGUUCUAUCUCAUGACUUUUGAGUGAACUGACGAGUUCCUCAAGGCUGAUAUUGUUCAGAUCUUUUGAUAACUUUAAUGUUGUGACCAUUGGUCUCCACUUCUUUGGCAAGCUUUUGACUAUCUUUUUGACAUGAUCUGCAGUUGUGUAGCCCUUGUCCAGAACUUUGAU